Molecule: long non-coding RNA, 217 nt
Filed under: Citrus sinensis (sweet orange)
Lineage: Eukaryota; Viridiplantae; Streptophyta; Magnoliopsida; Sapindales; Rutaceae
Description: long non-coding RNA (CSIN_LNC003487)
Source: RNAcentral
GGAUUUGUUCUUGGGACGCCCAUACACUCCAAAACGCGUCUUGCCAAUUAAGGUGUGGAUCACUCCUUAUAAACUCAGCAUCUCUCCCGUGCUUUGCCGAUGUGGGAUUCGCCUAGGGUGUUACAUACACCCCCCCUUGGGGACUCAGCGUCCUCGCUGAGGUUUGCCCCACCAUCGCUCAAGAGGACACGCGGAGCCGCUCUGAUACCAUAAUGUC